This 546-nucleotide ribosomal RNA is filed under the name Penicillium citreonigrum. Its description in RNAcentral is "eukaryotic LSU rRNA". The stretch from base 206 to 359 matches the Rfam family "5.8S ribosomal RNA". Lineage: Eukaryota; Fungi; Ascomycota; Eurotiomycetes; Eurotiales; Aspergillaceae. The record is from RNAcentral.
UUCCGUAGGUGAACCUGCGGAAGGAUCAUUACCGAGUGAGGGCCCUCUGGGUCCAACCUCCCACCCGUGUUUAUCGUACCUUGUUGCUUCGGCGGGCCCGCCGCAAGGCCGCCGGGGGGCAUCUGCCCUCUGGCCCGCGCCCGCCGAAGACACCAUUGAACGCUGUCUGAAGAUUGCAGUCUGAGCAAUUAGUUAAAUAACUUAAAACUUUCAACAACGGAUCUCUUGGUUCCGGCAUCGAUGAAGAACGCAGCGAAAUGCGAUACGUAAUGUGAAUUGCAGAAUUCAGUGAAUCAUCGAGUCUUUGAACGCACAUUGCGCCCCCUGGUAUUCCGGGGGGCAUGCCUGUCCGAGCGUCAUUGCUGCCCUCAAGCACGGCUUGUGUGUUGGGCUCCGUCCUCCUCCCGGGGGACGGGCCCGAAAGGCAGCGGCGGCACCGCGUCCGGUCCUCGAGCGUAUGGGGCUUCGUCACCCGCUCUGUAGGCCCGGCCGGCGCUUGCCGACACAUCAAUCUUUUUUCCAGGUUGACCUCGGAUCAGGUAGGGA